AUUGAACGCUGGCGGCAGGCCUAACACAUGCAAGUCGAGCGGAUGAAGGGAGCUUGCUCCUGGAUUCAGCGGGGACGGGUGAGUAAUGCCUAGGAAUCUGCCUGGUAGUGGGGGAUAACGUCCGGAAACGGGCGCUAAUACCGCAUACGUCCUGAGGGAGAAAGUGGGGGAUCUUCGGACCUCACGCUAUCAGAUGAGCCUAGGUCGGAUUAGCUAGUUGGUGGGGUAAAGGCCUACCAAGGCGACGAUCCGUAACUGGUCUGAGAGGAUGAUCAGUCACACUGGAACUGAGACACGGUCCAGACUCCUACGGGAGGCAGCAGUGGGGAAUAUUGGACAAAGGGCGAAAGCCUGAUCCAGCCAUGCCGCGUGUGUGAAGAAGGUCUUCGGAUUGUAAAGCACUUUAAGUUGGGAGGAAGGGCAGUAAGUUAAUACCUUGCUGUUUUGACGUUACCAACAGAAUAAGCACCGGCUAACUUCGUG
This 483-nucleotide ribosomal RNA is filed under the name uncultured bacterium. RNAcentral's name for it is "partial 16S ribosomal RNA". It matches the Rfam family "Bacterial small subunit ribosomal RNA", at positions 30 to 507 of the family's 1533-position model. The record is from RNAcentral.